CCAACAAGCCAGCAGGGAGAACAGCCUCAGCAUGGUCAAAACACUGCCUGGCUCUUUCCAAAGCCACUUCCUCCAUGGAGCAAGAGGCCUCUAGUGACCUGGUGGUCACUUGCAGUCCCCUCUGGACCUGGAGCCAGAAGCUGUGGCAGAUGAACAAGGCCCUUUCAAGAGGGGCUGGCUGGACACUGUGUGUGGAGAGACAGUGAGCAGCUGUUGUGUGCAUGUACCCAGGGGGCCUUAGAUGCACCAAGGCAUACAAGUAUGGGGUCAGAGUUGUCCACUCUCAAGAUGAGGAGGAGAGCCGUGAUUCAGAUAAUGCUGCAGGAGAAAGGAAAUCCUACGAAUUAAAUGUGUUGUCAGAAGCUGGUUUAAAAAAAGAAAAGAUGGAAGCCAGGCACAGUGGCACAAGACUUAAUCCCAGCUAUUUGGGAGGCUGAAACAGGAAGACUGACUUCAAGUCCACCAUGGGGAACGUGAUGAGACACCUUUCUCAAAAAUAGAAAGACAAGGACUGGCAUAGUGUGGUGGAUUAUAAGGCUCUUCAGGAUCAAUUUUGGAACAAUAACAAAAAGUCAUGAUAAUAAAGCAGAAAGUAAAUGAUGAAUGACCUGAAAUAAGAGUCCCAUUUAUGUAUUUAUAUUCCAGAAGAAGAAACAACAUGAAGCAUUCACAAAGGUUGCAUCUAAUACUUUUCUUUUUAUAAAAUAUCUAUGAUCACUUUUCCCUGAUUGACUGUUAGAAAAAUACUAUUUUUUUUCAUGCAAUAUCAUUAAUCAAGUGGUAGGAGUUUGAAAUGUCCACACUGCACUCAGUUAUAUAGAAU
This 823-nucleotide long non-coding RNA is filed under the name Heterocephalus glaber (naked mole-rat). RNAcentral's name for it is "lncRNA (ENSHGLG00100040769.1)". Lineage: Eukaryota; Metazoa; Chordata; Mammalia; Rodentia; Bathyergidae. The record is from RNAcentral.